RNAcentral lists this ribosomal RNA (460 nucleotides) under uncultured bacterium. RNAcentral's name for it is "partial 16S ribosomal RNA". It matches the Rfam family "Bacterial small subunit ribosomal RNA", at positions 338 to 795 of the family's 1533-position model. The record is from RNAcentral.
CCUACGGGGCGCAGCAGUGAGGAAUAUUGGUCAAUGGACGAGAGUCUGAACCAGCCAAGUAGCGUGAAGGAUGACUGCCCUAUGGGUUGUAAACUUCUUUUAUAUGGGAAUAAAAUGUUCCACGUGUGGGAUUUUGUAUGUACCAUAUGAAUAAGGAUCGGCUAACUCCGUGCCAGCAGCCGCGGUAAUACGGAGGAUCCGAGCGUUAUCCGGAUUUAUUGGGUUUAAAGGGAGCGUAGGUGGAUUGUUAAGUCAGUUGUGAAAGUUUGCGGCUCAACCGUAAAAUUGCAGUUGAAACUGGCAGUCUGGAGUACAGUAGAGGUGGGCGGAAUUCGUGGUGUAGCGGUGAAAUGCUUAGAUAUCACGAAGAACUCCGAUUGCGAAGGCAGCUCACUGGACUGCAACUGACACUGAGGCUCGAAAGUGUGGGUAUCAAACAGGAUUAGAUACCCCUGUAGUC